RNAcentral lists this ribosomal RNA (6070 nucleotides) under Plasmodium adleri (nom. inval.). Its description in RNAcentral is "Plasmodium sp. gorilla clade G2 28S ribosomal RNA". The stretch from base 2036 to 2221 matches the Rfam family "Eukaryotic large subunit ribosomal RNA", at positions 1174 to 1352 of the family's 3401-position model. The record is from RNAcentral. Lineage: Eukaryota; Apicomplexa; Aconoidasida; Haemosporida; Plasmodiidae.
AUUAAUUUAGGAGGGUGAAUCCGCUGAAUUUUAAAAAUUGCUAAAAUAUAACUAAGCGGAAGAAAAGAAAAUAACUAUGAUUCCUUUAGUAACAGCGCGUGAAAAAGGAUAAGCUCAAUUUAGAGAAUCCUACGAUUUUUUUUUUAAAAGAAUUUUAGGAAUUGUUUCUUUUUUUAUAUAAUAUAUAUACUCUAUAUGAUAACUGUUCUUUGGAUUAUAUAUUACGUAAUGUGUAUAUACAUCUAUUUUACGGGUACACAAGAGCAAAGAUAUUAAAAAACAAAUAGGAAAUAUAAUGGAAGAUUAUCCCAGAGAGGGUGAAAGGCCCGUACUUGUUUUAAUAUCUACCUUGUGCUUAAAUUAGAGUUAAAAAUAAAGAAUGAGUUGUGUUUGAUGAAUAUGGGACACUAAUACGUGUGAUAAAAUUUCACAUAAAGCUAAAUAUGUGUAGGAGACCGAUAGCAAACAAGUACCGUAAGGGAAUGAUGAAAUAGUACUCAGGAAUGAGCCAUUAAAUAGUACCUGAAAUCGUUAAGGUGGAAAGGAUUAAGAGCGUGAAGACGUAAGGGUUUUAUUAAAAAGUAUGUACAUGUGUAUAUAUAUAUAUAUGUAUGUAUAAGAGAGAAUUUCAUUUUCUCUUUGGUAAUUUCCUUAUUAUAAUAAACAAAAGUGAAUGAGAGAAAUUUUGAAGAUUGAAGUAAUUUUUUAAAAAAAUUAAAGAAUUAAUUAUAUAUAUAGUAAUAAAUUUUUAUUUAUUUUUAUUUAUUUUUAUGUAAUUUAUUAUUUUUUUUUUUUAAAGAAUGUGAAUGAAUGAAUGGAAAACACUUCUUUCUGAUUAAAAAACAUUUCUAUUUACUUAGGAAUAUAAAAUAUAUAUGUAAAAAUAGAAAGUAUUUAUAUUUUUUGUUUUUAUGUUAUGUAUAAGUUGUUUAUAAAAAAUACUCUCUUAAACCGACCGUCUUGAAACACGGACCAAGGAGUCUAUCAAAUAUGCAAGUGUAUAUGUUUAGAGGAAACAUGUAAAUUUUUUGUAUACACGCAUAGAUGUUCCAAAUGUGUGAUAUGUGUAGGAAGUGUGGCCACGCAUAUAUAUGUAUAUAUGUAUGUAUGUAUAUAUGUAUGUAUGUAUAUAUGUAUGUAUGUAUAUAUGUAUGUAUGUAUAUAUGUAUGUAUGUAUAUAUGUAUGUAUGUAUGUGUGGGUGGGCUUUUUAUAUAUUUUCAUUUUCAUUUGAUUUGUAGAUUUUGUUAUGAGGUGAAAAAAAUAGAAAUGGAAAAAGAAAUGAAAAUAAUUAAAAUUAAUUUUUUUUUUGUUUUUGUUUUUUUUUUUUUCUUUUACUUUUUGUAAAUUUUUUAUUUUUUUCAUUUUUCAUUUCAAUGCAUACAAAUUACUUAUGAUAUUAAAAACAGAAGAAUUAAAAUCAAGAAUUAUAACAUGUUAAGAAAUAUUUAUUAUUUUUUUUUGUGUUUCUUUUCUAGAUUUUUUUUUUUUAUGUUUUUAAUUGUGAGUAAAGAGUAUAUUUGAUAGGACCCGAAGGGCUUUGAACUAUACAUGUAAUAAAAUUAUGUGAGAACAUGAGAGUCUUUUUAUGGUUAAAAAAGUGUUAUUCUUAAAUAAAUAUGUAUCAUUAAUUUUUAGUGAAUUUGUAUAUAUUUAAGGAUCCCUUUUUUUUUUCCAUUAUUACAUUGUAGGAAAUAUAAAAAAUGAAAAGUCUUAAUUAGCUGGUUAUUUUCGAAAGAUCUCUCGAGAUCGCUGGAGUUGAUUUUGAUAUAUUUUUAUCGUAUCAAAUAAAUUAAAAUAUAUAUAUAUAUAUAUAUAUAUAUAUAUAUAUAUAUAUACACAAUGUUGAUAUAAAAGAUCUAAUUGUGAAUUUGUAAAUUUAUAUUUUAAUUUGUUUUGAUAUUUUGGUAAAAAGUGUAAAUAAGAUAAAUAUAUAUAAGUAGUAUAUUAUAUUAUUUUAUUUAUAUAAAAAUAAGAUAACUCCAAGUGUACCAUUUUUUGUUAAAAAAAAAAUUGGUAAUGAGGGAUGCUCCUAAUGCUUGGAUAAGGUGCCUAAGUAUUCGCUCAUGAGAUUCUGUUUAAAAAAAAAAGGUGUUGGUUCAUGAUAACAGUAGGACGAUAUUCAUGGAAGUUGAAAUUCGCUAAGGAGUGUGUAAUAACUCACCUUCCGAGUGAACUUGCCCUUAUAAUGGAUGGCGCUAAAGUGAAUUACCGAAAUCAAGCCAUAAAAAGAUAAAGAGAAAUAAUAAAAAAAAAAAAUAUAUUAAAAAAAAAAUUAAAAAAUUAUAAUCAACUGGGGAAAAGGUGUAAAGAAGAAAUUUUUUUUUUUUUUUUUUUAUUCCUUUUUUCUUUUUGUUUGUUUGUUUUUUUUUUUUUUUUUUAUUUAUUUUAUUUUUUUUUUUUUUAUUUUUCUUGUUUUUGAACUUUUUAUGUGUAGAAAAUCGUGGGGUUUGUGUUGAAGCGAAAUACGUGAGUUUUCGUGGAACAUCUCCCUAGUGCAGAUCUUGGUGGAAGUAGCAAAUAUUACAAAUGAAAACUUUGAAUGACUAAAGUGGAGAUGGGUUUCUUGUAUAUCGAUUUAUUAAUUUAAAUUUACAAGAGUUAGUCGCUUGCUUAUGAGUUUGCUACUUUUGUUUUUUUUCUGAAUGGAAGUCUUUUUAUUUUUUUUUGAAGAGAUCAUGAAAAGAAAAGUUUAGCAUACGUGACAAGGGGGUAUGUUUUUUGAUCGAACUUGUAUCACCCGCUUCUCUAAUUAUACUAAGAGAUGGCAUACAUUUAAUCUCUAUCACCUAUAAAAUUUCCUCUACUCAAAUAAAAGUAAACAGGUUAAUAUUCCUGUACGUUCAUAAAGAUUUAAGUAAGAUAGGUAAUGGUAACAUUUGAAUGCUGAACUCCUAUAUAUAGUAGCUACGUUCGGAGUGCGUUUUUUUGAAUUAUAUUCCUUUAUAAUUAUUGCACAUGAAAAAUAUAUAGCUAGGCCUAUGUCUUAAAUGCAAGAGUCGUAUACUUAGGGUGGCUUAGCACAGCGGUCGGCAUAUGAGAAUUGGCAAAUAUAGAAGGUUGAAUUUAUUCAUAUAUAAUUUAUUAGAUCAUAGAUUUUAUUUUUAUAAUAAUUUCUUGUUCUGUAUUUUAUAUAUGAAAUUCAUUCUUUUUGUUUGUAUCAAUAGUAAUUCUAUUAAAAUUUAGGGAAUUACCCGAAACUGUAUUACUAUCACUGAAUGUAGGAGGGAUAUAUCUUAUAAGUUUUAGAGAUGUAAUUUAUAUUAUAUUCUUUAAUUCCUUAUUUGACCGUUCUUAAUUUUUAUAACAGCGUACCUAUAAUAGCCGCUUAAGGUCUCCUAGGUUAAGAGCCUCUAGUUUAUAUAGAUUACAUAAUAGCAAAGGAAGUCGUUCCACAAGCACUCAGAUAAUAUAUAUAUAUAUAUGUAUAUAUAUAUAUAUAUAUAUAUAUAUAUAUAUGUAUAAUAUUUGUUUGUUCGGAAUUUAGGGAAAUAAAUUUAUAUUGAGUUAUAUUAUAGGAGUAAAAGUAAAUUAUAGAGAAGAGGCGAAAAAUUAAAGAAAGAACGAUAUUAGAGUGAUUCUUCGGCAUAUUAUGUAAAAUUAUAUAGGUGUGCAUAUGUAUAAACUAGACGAAAGAUAGUUUCUGCGUGUAUGUAUAUAUAUAUAUGUAUACGUAUGAGACGUUUAGUAGGAGUGUAAAAGUUAUUAUGUGUGCAUGCCUGUAUUCUGCUUUAUACGUAUGUUUAAAGGCUUUCUCUUUUUUUUAUGUAUUUCUUUAAUUUUUAUUUCCCCCCUCUUUUCAAUUUUCAAUAUGUAUGUAUAUAUAUAUAUUUAUAUAUAUAUAUAUAUAUAUAUAUGUAUUGUUAAUAUAUACAUACUGUUUACUUAAUAUAAACUCAGUAUAGUAUACCGAUAAUGUUUGAGGGUUAAAUGGUUUCUAGUCACUGUGAAUGAAAUAAAAGAUCAUAUAAUAUUUAUAUUAUAUUGGCCUUAUUCUAUGUAUGCAAAUAUAUAUAUGUAUAUAUAAGUAUGUUCUAUACGUAUAUAUAUGUAUAUAUAUCCUUGUUAUAUUAUAGCACGGUGAUACGUCCUUCCGCGUUCCUAGUAAGUCGGGUGUUGAAGUGCUUCGAUUGCGUACAAUGGGAGGGGUGGUUGCAAUGACGGUUUAUUAUUAUAUAAUUUUUAUAUUUUAAUAUUCCUAGUUGCAGCGACAAUUUUACCUUUGUCACGUAACACUGAGAAGGUUGGUUUUUUUUUUUUAUGCAUAUCCUAUAGGAAUUGUAAAACCCUCACGACAUAUACCUUACUAUUUUAUCUAGCGAAACCACAACCAAGGGAACAGGCUUGGUAAAAUCAGUAGAGAAAGUAAGCUAUUAUUUCUGUUGAAGAAUUUAUUAUUUACCCAAAUUUGUAACUUUUGUAAAACUACUUAAGAGGUGUAGAUAUAAGUGGGAGUAAUUAAAAAAAAUAUAUAAAAAGAAAAAAGAAGAGGGGGAAAAAGGAAGAAGAAGAACAGAGAAAAAGGAAAAUAAAAAAGGGUGGGGAGAGAUGGGGAAAGGGAAAAUAAAGAAUGAAAAUAAAAUUAGUAUUUAUAUAUUUUUUUUGUUUUUGUUUUUUGUUUUUUCUUUUUCUUUUUCUUUCUUUCUUUUUUUUUUUUUCUUUUUUUUUGUUUUUCUUGUUCUGAUUUUUUUUUCUUCUUUUUUGUUUCUAUAUAUUUUUUUUGAUUUACACAAUUGAAAUACCACUACUUUUAUGUUACUUUUACUUAUCCAUUGUUAGGAAAAUGUAUAAAUAUACAUGUCAUUCUUAAUGUGCUUCGUAAGAAAUAUUAACAUAUAUUUUAUAUAUGUGUUAUUUUUUUUUAUGAAGGGCCUUUUGAAUGUUGAAUAUUGAGAUAAAUUUGUUUUAUUAUGUAUAUAUAUAUAUGUAUAUAUGUAUAUAUGUAUAUGUAUAUAUAUAUAAAACACUUUGAUCGCACAUGUUCCUAUUUAUAAUAUAUACAAAUAUUUAUAUAUAUGUAUGUUGUUCAUAUAUUCGUAUGUGUUACAACUACAUAUUAUAUUUAUAUAUGCAUAUUUAUGGAGACAGAGUUUUACAGUUUGUGGAGUUUAUUGGAUUAGUUUUUAAAUAUUAAGAAGAAUUGAAUUUUAUUAUUUAUUUUUUUUUUUUAUUUUUAAAUUAAUCCUUAUAAUUUAUAAUUAUAGUUUUUUUUUUUUUUUUUUUUUUUUUAUUAUUAUUAUGUUUAUAAAUGUAUAUGUGUAAUUAGAGGAAGAAUUAAAUAGAAAUAUUCGGAUAGUUGCAAAAUAUAUUUAUGAUAUAUAUAUAUAAUAUAAAAAGGAAAAAGAAAAAAAAUAUAUAAAUAUAUAAAAAUAAAUGUUUUGGAUAAUAAGAACAGUGAAUAAUAGUUAUAUACUUGUGGCUGCCGAGCGAUAUUUUUAGCGACGUAGCUUAUUGAUUUGAAAAUUUUGGUUCUUCCUAUCAUUGAGAAGAAGAAAUCUCAAAGUGUCGGAUUGUUCAACCGUUAAAAGGGAACGAGAGCUGUAUAGAAAAAAAAAUUUUUUUUUUUUUUUUAGUAACCUUCAUGAGAUAGGUUCGUUUUUUACUCUACUGAAGAAUAUUAUUUAUUUAAUAUAUUAUAUUGUUCCAGUAAUCGAACUAAGUACGAAAGGAAUAGUUUGGUCAGAUAGUUAAUUUAGCUAUCGGUCGAAAAGCCAACAUAGCAAAGAUUUUAGGUCUGUUGUGAUAAUAGCUGAACGCCUCUUAAGCUAGAAUCCAUUCUGUAUAUACAAUAUAUGAAUAGUUUUCUUUGUCUUGUAAUUUUUUUUUUUACUGUUAAUGUAAAAAGAGAACUUAUAUUAUAUUACAAAGCAUUUUUUAUUAUAAAUGCCUUUAUAAAUAUAAAUAAUCCACUUAAAAUUUAAAUACCGUAUAUUAUAUGUAUAUAUAUGUACGUAUUUAAAAUAUUUAUUAUUUAGCAACAAAGAAUGUAAGAAUAAUCUGUAGACGACUUUUUUGCCUCGGAGUGCUGUAAUCACAAAAGUAAACUGGUUUCGCUUUUUGAUGAGGCUUAUC